Molecule: microRNA precursor, 352 nt
Filed under: Chlamydomonas reinhardtii
Lineage: Eukaryota; Viridiplantae; Chlorophyta; Chlorophyceae; Chlamydomonadales; Chlamydomonadaceae
Description: miR912 stem-loop (cre-MIR912)
Gene: cre-MIR912
Source: miRBase by way of RNAcentral
GCCUAUGCCUCUGCCGGCCAUCAAUGGCGCUCACGACAAGGGUGCCAUCGUCACCGGUCUAAUCUAAUGCCAGGCAACCAGGGAAGACACAGGAUCCAUUUUCUAGUGCCUGGCUGGGAUCAAUGCAAGAUGAUAGUUGGAUCCUGGACGCCGAAGGCCAUCAUGCGGUGUCAACCGCAUGACGGCCGUUGGCGUCCAGGAUCUAGCUGUCGUCUUGGAUUGAUCCCAGCCAGGCGCUUGGAGAUGGACCCACGGUCUUCCCUCCCUUGUUGCCUGGGUUCCGAGCAGACCGGCGACGAUGGCACCACCGUCGUUGGCUCCAGGGCAUUGACGGCCCGGCGGAGAACCAGGC